Molecule: ribosomal RNA, 496 nt
Filed under: uncultured bacterium
Lineage: Bacteria
Description: partial 16S ribosomal RNA
Rfam family: Bacterial small subunit ribosomal RNA
Source: RNAcentral
AUGAACGCUGGCGGCGUGCCUCAUACAUGCAAGUCGAGCGAACGGACGAGAAGCUUGCUUCUCUGAUGUUAGCGGCGGACGGGUGAGUAACACGUGGAUAACCUACCUAUAAGACUGGGAUAACUUCGGGAAACCGGAGCUAAUACCGGAUAAUAUUUUGAACCGCAUGGUUCAAAAGUGAAAGACGGUCUUGCUGUCACUUAUAGAUGGAUCCGCGCUGCAUUAGCUAGUUGGUAAGGUAACGGCUUACCAAGGCAACGAUGCAUAGCCGACCUGAGAGGGUGAUCGGCCACACUGGAACUGAGACACGGUCCAGACUCCUACGGGAGGCAGCAGUAGGGAAUCUUCCGCAAUGGGCGAAAGCCUGACGGAGCAACGCCGCGUGAGUGAUGAAGGUCUUCGGAUCGUAAAACUCUGUUAUUAGGGAAGAACAUAUGUGUAAGUAACUGUGCACAUCUUGAUGGUACCUAAUCAGAAAGCCACGGCUAACUACGUG